GAAAGAUGCUUCAAGAAAGGAAAACAUGGGUAGAGGUCUCUCCCUGCUUCUGGAAAGGAAAAAUGGAGCGCAGUGUGUUGGUGUGAACCAGACUGUCUAAGGAGAGGGAGGAAGAUGGAAGACUUAAGGGACUUAACACACCUGGACUUAAGGACUAAAACUAUUAAUGGCUUACCUGUAACAGACACACAGCCUAACGGAGCGAUCAGAGUAAUGGGAGCAAAUCCAUAGGCUGCAAAGUUCCCCGUCUCUCCCACGGCCAUCAGCAGGACACCACCCCACCACAGCACACUCUUGAAGUAUGGCCUUGG
RNAcentral lists this long non-coding RNA (311 nucleotides) under Pan troglodytes (chimpanzee). Its description in RNAcentral is "long non-coding RNA NONPTRT016787". Lineage: Eukaryota; Metazoa; Chordata; Mammalia; Primates; Hominidae. The record is from RNAcentral.